CAGGCCUAACACAUGCAAGUCGAACGAGGGCUUCGGCCCUAGUGGCGCACGGGUGAGUAACGCGUGGGAACCUGCCCUGUGGUACGGAAUAACUCCGGGAAACUGGAGCUAAUACCGUAUGUGUCCUGCGGGACAAAAAUUUAUCGCCAUGGGAUGGGCCCGCGUAGGAUUAGCUUGUUGGUGGGGUAACGGUCUACCAAGGCAACGAUCCAUAACUGGUCUGAGAGGAUGAUCAGCCGCACUGGGACUGAGACACGGCCCAUACUCCUACAGGAGGCAGCAGUGGGGAAUAUUGGACAAUGGGCGCAAGCCUGAUCCAUCAAUGCCGCGUGAGUGAUGAAGGCCUUCGGGUUGUAAAGCUCUUUCGCACGCGACGAUGAUGACGGUAGCGUGAGAAGAAGCCCCGGCUAACUUCGUGCCAGCAGCCGGGGUAA
Molecule: ribosomal RNA, 434 nt
Filed under: uncultured bacterium
Lineage: Bacteria
Description: bacterial SSU rRNA
Rfam family: Bacterial small subunit ribosomal RNA
Source: RNAcentral